Molecule: long non-coding RNA, 1181 nt
Organism: Silurus meridionalis
Lineage: Eukaryota; Metazoa; Chordata; Actinopteri; Siluriformes; Siluridae
Exons: 3
Source: RefSeq, a predicted model, not a curated record
ACCAAUAAAGAGGGUGUUAACAUGGGAAUAAAACCAGAAAAGCUGGAAAUAAAAACCAAGCUGAAGUUGUGUACAAGUGUCCAACUCUGCAGCUCUCCAUCAGUCAAGAGUGCUUGGUGUUGGACUGGCUUCUGGUUCAUGUUGCAAGCUUAAAUUGAGUCACAUCAUCGCUGUUGCCAGCUUUUGACUCAGAGUGUAGCUUGCUUAGAUUACACCCAAACAAGACAUCUUUUAAUAACUCGAACACUAUUAAUGCACCUUUUGUACAAUAUCAUUAGAACGUGUUAUUUUGUGGUCUUUUUGGUUCUACGAUUAAAGGAAAAUGUACAACUUUUUUUUCCUUCCCUUUUGCUGAUUUUAACAAGUAUAUUCGUAAUAUUUUAAUGAACCUCAGUGGAGACUGAGCAAUCACUUAAUGCCUCAGAAGGGGGUGGACUUAUUACUGCAUUAUACUAUAAAAGUGAACCGAAAAUAUCCACAUUUUUAAUUAAGGGGUAAAUAUUUAGGCUUAUAGCUCAAAUAAAUACACUAGGUGAAGCAAUAGGAGUGGGCUGACUCUAAAAACCAUUACAUCGUGUCGAUUACAGUAAUCAGCGGUAUAUAGCGGUGACCGAUUAAUCGUGAGCUUCACUCGAUGCUUCACUUUUUUUUCCCCUCUCACGCGCAACAAAAUGGCGUCUCUGCAACGAGCAGCGUCUGUUGGCGUUCCAGCGAUUAAAACGUUUUUAAAGUGUACAACAAUAGAACAACGGGAAAAAAAACGAGAAUAUGGCACAGAGCAGGCAGACCAGGGUGGGUUUUAACUUCAAAUCGCCUUAAAUUGUCCCAAGAGUCCAGACCCGGACCCGGGCUAAAGAAUUCAGGAGUAGGAGGGGCAGGAAGCUGGAUGUGAGGAAAAAAAAAACCCAACUCCGAUUUGGCAUCCAGUGCGCCCUGACCCGUAUCAAGCAGUGACUGAAGAUGAAUUAAUCAGCAUCGUAUGAGAGUGAUGUUACACUGAAUGUUACCAUGUCUGUGACUGAUGAGAAUUUAGGCAAUCACACAUAAUCAGUAACACAGCAUUUUCUAUAAACAAAAAAUGAUUAUAUAGUAUCUUACAUUUUGACACAAUAUGGAUAAAUAUAUAGUUUUUUUGGCUCUGACAAUGGAAACCAUUCCCAAAAUUAAAGCAUAAAACCCAA